CAUGCCCCUUAUGACCUGGGCUACACACGUGCUACAAUGGUUGGUACAACGAGUUGCGAGUCGGUGACGGCGAGCUAAUCUCUUAAAGCCAAUCUCAGUUCGGAUUGUAGGCUGGCAACUCGCCUACAUGAAGUCGGAAUCGCUAGUAAUCGCGGAAUCAGCACGCCGCGGUGAAUACGUUCCCGGGCCCUU
RNAcentral lists this ribosomal RNA (192 nucleotides) under uncultured Streptococcus sp. Its description in RNAcentral is "partial 16S ribosomal RNA". It matches the Rfam family "Bacterial small subunit ribosomal RNA", at positions 1194 to 1382 of the family's 1533-position model. Lineage: Bacteria; Bacillati; Bacillota; Bacilli; Lactobacillales; Streptococcaceae. The record is from RNAcentral.